This 433-nucleotide ribosomal RNA is filed under the name uncultured bacterium. RNAcentral describes it as "partial 16S ribosomal RNA". It matches the Rfam family "Bacterial small subunit ribosomal RNA", at positions 29 to 507 of the family's 1533-position model. The record is from RNAcentral.
AACGAACGCUGGCGGCAUGCCUAACACAUGCAAGUCGAACGAGACCUUCGGGUCUAGUGGCGCACGGGUGCGUAACGCGUGGGAACCUGCACUUAGGUUCGGACUAACUCCCCGAAAGGGGUGCUAAUACCGGAUAAUGUCUUCGGACCAAAGAUUUAUCGCCUUUGGAUGGGCCCUCGUUGGAUUAGCUAGUUGGUAGGGUAAAAGCCUACCAAGGCGACGAUCCAUAGCUGGUCUGAGAGGAUGAUCAGCCACACUGGGACUGAGACACGGCCCAGACUCCUACGGGAGGCAGCAGUGGGGAAUAUUGGACAAUGGGCGAAAGCCUGAUCCAGCAAGGCCGCGUGAGUGAUGAAGGCCGUAGGGUUGUAAAGCUCUUUUACCCGGGAUGAUAAUGACAGUACCGGGAGAAUAAGCUCCGGCUAACUCCGUG